RNAcentral lists this ribosomal RNA (408 nucleotides) under Verrucomicrobiota bacterium. Its description in RNAcentral is "Verrucomicrobia bacterium partial 16S ribosomal RNA". It matches the Rfam family "Bacterial small subunit ribosomal RNA", at positions 355 to 776 of the family's 1533-position model. Lineage: Bacteria; Pseudomonadati; Verrucomicrobiota. The record is from RNAcentral.
UGGGGAAUAUUGCACAAUGGGCGGGAGCCUGAUGCAGCGACGCCGCGUGAGGGAUGACGGCCUUCGGGUUGUAAACCUCUUUCAGUAGGGACGAAGCGUAAGUGACGGUACCUGCAGAAGAAGCACCGGCUAACUACGUGCCAGCAGCCGCGGUAAUACGUAGGGUGCGAGCGUUGUCCGGAAUUACUGGGCGUAAAGAGCUCGUAGGCGGUUUGUCACGUCGUCUGUGAAAUCCUAGGGCUUAACCCUGGACGUGCAGGCGAUACGGGCUGACUUGAGUACUACAGGGGAGACUGGAAUUUCUGGUGUAGCGGUGGAAUGCACAGAUAUCAGGAAGAACACCGAUGGCGAAGGCAGGUCUCUGGGUAGUAACUGACGCUGAGGAGCAAAGCAUGGGUAGCGAACAGG